This 349-nucleotide long non-coding RNA is filed under the name Helianthus annuus (common sunflower). RNAcentral describes it as "sRNA HanXRQr2_Chr01g0034601". The stretch from base 261 to 349 matches the Rfam family "Plant small nucleolar RNA SNOR75". Lineage: Eukaryota; Viridiplantae; Streptophyta; Magnoliopsida; Asterales; Asteraceae. The record is from RNAcentral.
UAUCAAUGAUGAACAAAGAAAGGCUUGUUUCUCAUGAACAUUCGCAGUGGCCGCCUGAUUGAACUUUCGCCUUCGCCAGGCUUGAGAGUUCAUGUUGUUUCAUCCUUCCUUGGAUGUCUGAGAUCUUCUCAGAAACAUUCGCAGUGGCCGACCAAGAGCUUUCGCCUUCCCCAGGCUUGAGAGCUUGUGCUGUUUUGCUCCUUCCUUGGAUGUCUGAAGUUUUAUUUCAUUUAUUUAUUUAUAGAGAAUUAGGGUGGGUUUCUCAGUGAUGAUUUCAAUAGAUGACGAGUCUGAUACAUUAUCCAUUCCAUUCAGUAUGAAGACCAAUCGAGGCAUUUGUCUGAGAGAU